This is a non-coding RNA of Oesophagostomum dentatum (nodular worm), 44 nucleotides long. The record is from Rfam. NCBI's taxonomy places the organism in Eukaryota, Metazoa, Nematoda, Chromadorea, Rhabditida, Strongylidae.
CCAACGGCCCUCUUUAGGGCCACAAAUUAGCUUGCGAAUACUGG